Long non-coding RNA from Cucurbita moschata (crookneck pumpkin), 1753 nucleotides. RefSeq lists it as uncharacterized. The transcript is spliced from 4 exons. The record is from RefSeq and is a predicted model, not a curated record. Lineage: Eukaryota; Viridiplantae; Streptophyta; Magnoliopsida; Cucurbitales; Cucurbitaceae.
GAUUGAAACUUCCAAAGGCGACGUUACUCGAGCAACAUACUUCCCUGGACUUCCCACGUUCUUCACCUUUCGAUUGAUCGUCACAGGGCCUGUUUUCAAAUCCGCGACUGAGAUGGAUGGAUAAUUAAGCCUCGAGAGCACAAGAAAUUUAGGUAAUCGUCGAUUGUAAUGUCGUAAACGAGGCCAGGGUCCAUCGCGCUGUUUGGAUGAACAUGUCCUGCGCCGUAUGCUAAUGGAGUUGCUAUCACUCCGUCGAGGUCGACAAUUGGAUGGUUUUGAGAAGGCCUACAAUGCCAGAAACAUGGGGGCAAGACAUGGAUGUGCCAGAGUAUACCAUAAAAGGACCUCGACGAUCAUCAACGGGCAGAUUUGCCAAUGGUAUUCCAUCGGGGAUCUGGUCCUAAGUUUCCAGCCGAACAAACAACAACGAUGCCAUGCUGAACUGCAUGAAAGGCCCCUAUAGAUAGCCCAUCGUCUAGGAAGUCUGAGGGAAUUGCACCAAGAGAAGCUGAGAUAACGUCAACCCCAUCACCAAUGGCAGCUUCGAAGGCAGCUAAGAUAUCCACGUCAAAACACCCUCCACCUUCCGCUUCCCAACAGACCUUGUAGGACGCAACACGGGCUCGAGGUGAGCCACCUUUGGCAGUUCCAUUUGCGUAGCCAAAAACAUUAGCUCCAGAGACAAAGUUGCCCCCAGCCGUGGAUAAAGUGUGGGUUCCGUGGCCUUGAUGGUCCCUUGGAGAAUUGAGGCUGCCAUUGAGUGGACCAUUGGCUAAGUUAAAGAACCUUGCUCCAAUUAGCUUCCUGCAUAUAUUUAAGGUAUGCAUUUCAAAUCUACUACACCAUAAUGAAAGAAAACGAGAUAUAUAUUGGAUGAAUUGAAGCUCUUGACCUGUUGCAAUGGAAGUUGGGGUCAGCGCCACUUCGACAACUGCCCAGCCACCUUGAAGGGACGGGCCCAUAUCCUUCGUCACUGAAGCUCUUAGAUUCUGGCCAAACACCUAUGUUCCAAUUGCAUGAAGUUACAGGAAAACACAACGGCAACAUAGUCCUAACAAAAAACAAUGACAGAGAACAAAAAAAAAAAAAAAAAAAAAAAAAAACGAACCUGUGUCAAUGUUAGCUAUAAUUGCAUCUUUACCAAACCUUGUAACAUUCCAAAUAGAGUCGGAAGGAACUCCUUGUGUUUCUAGUCCAAGAAAAUCCCAUGAUCUUGUUGUGUGUAGUUGUCUCUCCUUAUUUUCAAAAACAGAAAUCACAUUUGGAAUUCCUACCAUAUAUUUGUACCAUGUCAGUUUCAAGCUUAUUUGACCAAGGGAAUAACCUAUUGACUUCAAGAACAUAUGAACAAUUUACUUGCAAGAUCUGCGGCUUGUUUUUCAUUGAGCAUUGCGGCGAAGCCAUUGAUAUAUCUGUUGUAUGAGUAGAAAAUAGCUUCCUUGGCUAUCUCUUUGCUGCACAAUGAAUGGAGAAGGGUAACAAAUAGUGAGAAUAAUCAUUGUAAGAAACCAAGCCCGAUGAAUCUAAAGUGCUUCACCUUCCCAACACUGAUCCUAGUAAAUCAUAAUGAGAUUUUGUUACAAGUUGGAGAUCCAACGAGGAAGGACUCGAACCAUGAGAAUGUGAUCCGAGGUAUACGAUGUAUGGCUGCAUGAGAAAAAGAGAAUUAGAUGAAACAAAUAUUGAGUUUUCGAAAUGGGAAAUAAAACGAAAGAGUUUGCCUUUUUAGUGGCAAUAGUCGAUGUUUGGAGAA